Molecule: long non-coding RNA, 1206 nt
Filed under: Cyanistes caeruleus (blue tit)
Lineage: Eukaryota; Metazoa; Chordata; Aves; Passeriformes; Paridae
Description: lncRNA (ENSCCEG00000013884.1)
Source: RNAcentral
UCAAUUUUGGCCAGGAAGAGGAGGGGAAUGUACUUCCCUCCCCCAUGUCUCUUUAAAGGUCAUAGAGACCCUAUGAUUCAGAACCUACCUCUUAUGUAGAAAAUAGUUGAGAAAAAAUUAAAAUGUUUAAUUCUGCUCCUCUGUCUAAUCCAAAGGAAUUUCAGCAUCCCAGCUGCCCUCAGUUCUCUCUUUGGGCAGAUCGAGAGAGCAGAGUGGUAUUUGCUUUCUCUGGGCUACAAUCAUUAAAAAUUAUGGAAGCAACCAGGAACAUAGGACAAAAACUAAUCAGGAGACCAAAGCGGAGCUGAAGAAUGAGGUGAAGCUCCUGCCAGCUGGUUGGUUUCAGAAUUAGUUUCACCUUGCCCUACAAGCACCUCCACAUCAAAAAGCUGACUGAAGGUGUUAUUAAUAAUUCCAGCACUGUAUCCCUAACCUAAAGCUCUUGGCUCUAAAGAUCCUAUUGUUCUCAGUUGACUUCCAAGCAAGUCCAGGAAAAAGUGAGACUGGGAAGGUCGAUACCCACUCAUUGUGUACCCUUGGCUUCACCUGCAUAAGUGCAAGAAUAUGAGACAGUCUGGUUUUACAAAUUGGUAUGUAAAGAUGUAAGACCGUCUGGUUCUACAAAUUGGCAUGUAAAGUUGAGGGAAGACCUGAUGGCUCAGCAGCAUAUGGCCUCUAGCCUAGUCACUGCUGAAAAUCAGGUCUCCUAAAAUCUGGGUUGUGUUUCAUUGUGGUUUUGGUGUACAGUUGCUCUCAGCAUUCAUUUUAGUUUUCAUGUUUUGAUUUAAUUAAAGAGUUCAAGUUUCAAAAAAUCAAGUGGGAGGCUGAACAGGGAAUAGAGUUGGCAGUGAGUCGGGAAGAUGUUAACACGUUGAAUGCCCUCCUUCCACCUGCAAGGUGUCUGUUUCAAAAACCUUCUGCAGAUGUCCACCUUGAAACCUCUCAGGGAGAAUGCUGCUUUCUAACACAGUGACCACUGGAAGCUAUUUCAGUUCUGCACUGGACAACUCUUCAACAUCAGGAUCAAGCUACAACAGCAACAAAUAUGGGCAAGCUUCUUGUGUUCAGAUUGUGGAGGCAACUGUAAUUUGUUAAGAAGAGGACCAUAAAAAUACCUUGAAAAAACAGAUUAGAAACAAACAUAAAAGAUUUAAAAUACCUGUUGUAAACCCCCAGAAAAUAAAAGAUUGAUUAACACUUAAUUCA